Molecule: ribosomal RNA, 253 nt
Filed under: uncultured bacterium
Lineage: Bacteria
Description: partial 16S ribosomal RNA
Rfam family: Bacterial small subunit ribosomal RNA
Source: RNAcentral
UACGGGGGGGGCAAGCGUUGUUCGGAAUUACUGGGCGUAAAGGGUUCGUAGGUGGCCAACUAAGUCAGACGUGAAAUCCCUCAGCUCAACUGGGGAACUGCGUCUGAUACUGGUUGGCUUGAGUGCAGGAGAGGAACGCGGAAUUCCAGGUGUAGCGGUGAAAUGCGUAGAUAUCUGGAGGAACACCGGUGGCGAAGGCGGCGUUCUGGACUGCAACUGACACUGAGGGACGAAAGCCAGGGGAGCAAACGGG